Molecule: ribosomal RNA, 497 nt
Filed under: uncultured bacterium
Lineage: Bacteria
Description: partial 16S ribosomal RNA
Rfam family: Bacterial small subunit ribosomal RNA
Source: RNAcentral
GAUGAACGCUGGCGGCGUGCCUAAUACAUGCAAGUCGAGCGAACGGACGAGAAGCUUGCUUCUCUGAUGUUAGCGGCGGACGGGUGAGUAACACGUGGAUAACCUACCUAUAAGACUGGGAUAACUUCGGGAAACCGGAGCUAAUACCGGAUAAUAUUUUGAACCGCAUGGUUCAAAAGUGAAAGACGGUCUUGCUGUCACUUAUAGAUGGAUCCGCGCUGCAUUAGCUAGUUGGUAAGGUAACGGCUUACCAAGGCAACGAUGCAUAGCCGACCUGAGAGGGUGAUCGGCCACACUGGAACGUAGACACGGUCCAGACUCCUACGGUAGGCAGCAGUAGGGAAUCUUCCGCAAUGGGCGAAAGCCUGACGGAGCAACGCCGCGUGAGUGAUGAAGGUCUUCGGAUCGUAAAACCCUGUUAUUAGUGAAGAACAUAUGUGUAAGUAACUGUGCACAUCUUGACGGUACCUAAUCAGAAAGCCACGGCUAACUACGUG